RNAcentral lists this unclassified non-coding RNA (568 nucleotides) under Magnolia obovata (Japanese bigleaf magnolia). RNAcentral's name for it is "sequence contains ITS1, 5.8S rRNA gene and ITS2". The stretch from base 177 to 332 matches the Rfam family "5.8S ribosomal RNA". Lineage: Eukaryota; Viridiplantae; Streptophyta; Magnoliopsida; Magnoliales; Magnoliaceae. The record is from RNAcentral.
CGAGAAGUCCACCGACCAGCGAACCGGUGACCCUAACAAGACGGGCGUGGCUCGAGGAGAGCUGACAUGCUCUUCCGGCACGCGACGAACCACCCCCGGCGGUAUGUGCGCCAAGGAAUUGAAAUGGAAUGAGCGCGGCUCUCUCCGGGAUGCUGGCACGCGUUUGGAACUUACACGACUCUCGGCAACGGAUAUCUCGGCUCUCACAUCAAUGAAGAACGUAGCGAAAUGUGAUACUUGGUGUGAAUGGCAGAAUCCCGUCAACUAUCGAGUCUUUAAACACAAGUUGUCCCCGAGGCCACCUGGCCGAGGGCAUGCCUGCCUGGGUGUCAUGCAUUGUGCUGCCUCAUCCGGCACUCGCCUCAUCCAGCGACGGCGUCACGGGGCGGAGACUGGCUGCCCGUGCACCCUGCGCGCGCGGCUGGCUGAAAAACAAGCGCUCCCCCGUAGGGGCGCGGGUGGGGUGAUAGGUGGUUUGAGAGGCGGCUGCCUCAUCGGAGACAGGACGCUGCACCCAUCGUCCCGCUCCCGGGGGUAAAGUGACACCCAACUCGACUGCCCCGGGCGG